Ctenopharyngodon idella (grass carp) is the source of this 1843-nucleotide long non-coding RNA. RefSeq lists it as uncharacterized. The record is from RefSeq and is a predicted model, not a curated record. The transcript is spliced from 4 exons. Lineage: Eukaryota; Metazoa; Chordata; Actinopteri; Cypriniformes; Xenocyprididae.
GUACAAUGAGGAUUUUUAAUUACCAUGUUAAUGGAUAAUACAAACUGAUUUGUCAGUCCAUAAGGCAUGAACUAAUUUGUAUAAACUGUGAACAAAUACUUUUAACCAUAUAAUUUUGAAAAUAUAUUAAUAAAUGUGUGACCAUAUAGUAAAAUGUCUCCCUUGACUGUAUGUGGUAUUAUUUCCGUAUGUAUGUUCAUGUUGUGACAAAUAGUAAAGACACGGAGAUAUGGGCAUUUAAUGUCAAAAUAUAGGCCUACAUGAAUUUAAUCAUUGCAAAUCCUUGAACAAGUGAAACAUGCAUUUAAGCCAAUGAGACAUUUAACAACAGAAGGUGUAUACGGUGAUAUUUCUGUCAUGAUGUGAUGAACGAAUUUAUAUUUAUAUAUUAAUAUUAAGUGUUUAUCUGCUAUAGGCUAUUGAAUCUGUUCACGUCUUUCACAUUUUAUCAUUAAAGGUUUUUUUUUUUUUUUUUGCAUAUUUAUCGUGUUAAUAUUAAAUAAAUAUUAAUUAAUAAAACUUAUUCAUUUCGUUUUCAGGGAUGAAAAGACUGGUUCUUCUGCAGAAAUGCCAUAUGGGCUUAUCAUUUUUAAGUGUUUUAAGAUGAUUAUUUGUUGUUUGCUUGUUUUUAUUUUAUUAUGAGCAGUUUAAAUAUGUUUUAAACCUAUUAUUUUAGAAAUGUUUUUUAAAUAUCCUAUUUGUUUUCAUACAGAGAAACACACGUUUCACUUGUUCAAGGCUUUUUUUAAAAUGGUUAUUAUUAUUUGACAUUAAACAGCCUACGUUACAUAAUCUAAGUAAUUUUUUAAAGUAAUCUUUAACUUGUACUGAAACUAGGCACUGGUACUGAAGCAUAAAUAAAAAAUAUUGAAAGAAAGAAAGAAACGGUUGUCUUUCUCUUUGCUUUUAAAGGGAUAGUUCACCAAAAAUGUAUCAUUCUCUCAUCAUACCCUUAUGUUGUUCAAAACCUGUAUUCUUUUGUUGGUAGAGCAUAAAAGAUUGUUGUUCUUUUGUGUACAGCAGAAAAAAGAACUGCAUAUGUAAAGGUGAUGAUGACAGGAUUUUUAUUUUUGUCCCUUUAAGAGCAGAUAAUGUGAGAUAGAGCAUUGUGUAAUAUGAAACCGUAAACAAAGGUGUGGCCUUCAGUAUAUAUACACACAUUCCUCCUGGAGUUUCAGCAUUUAAAGCGCUCUCAAAUUCGUCAGCUAAGAUGUCAGAGCUGCAGUGGAUAUUUCCCUCACUUCACUUCAGCUCAUCACAAGAUAUAAGCAAAAACAGAGUAUUAGACUAAUGAAUGCAUGGCAGGAAUAUAUCUGGAGCAUCACAAACUGCAGGAGAAGAACCAGACGAGAAAGAAAGAAAAAUGUCAAGCAAAAAAAAGUUACAACCAAAUAAACCAAAAAUUAUAAUAGUGAGACGGAGGAGCAUUAAUAGUGGAAAACCAAACUUUUCUCGUGAUGAAGACAGUUUCAUUCUGACGUCUCAGAUGAGAUCUGAGAGUGUGUUUCUCUUUUCAGAAAGCAGCAGCUCCUUUCAUCAAACCAGCAAAAUACUCUUCAUCAGUCAGUCAAUAAUUAUGCAGUGUACGCUGUUUAUUUUUUAGCAUUAUUAUGUGUAGAUAUCUAUAAUAUUUCAUCUGGUCUUGCUUUAAUUUAUUUUCUGGUCUGUAUUACUCUGUACAAUUUUGCAUUUUUAUGUUUUAGCACUUCUGAUGUUAUUGACUUCCUGGGAUGAAUUGCUUUGUCUGAUAAAAGAAUCUGAUAAAUGUAUAACUGUAAAAAUGUAACUUUUGUAAAAAUGACUUUUAGUAUGAUGAAUAAAUGACGAUAUAAUGACGAUAUGA